RNAcentral lists this ribosomal RNA (467 nucleotides) under uncultured bacterium. Its description in RNAcentral is "partial 16S ribosomal RNA". It matches the Rfam family "Bacterial small subunit ribosomal RNA", at positions 28 to 506 of the family's 1533-position model. The record is from RNAcentral.
GACGAACGCUGGCGGCGUGCUUAACACAUGCAAGUCGAACGGAGAGGCCCUGCUUUUGUGGGGUGCUCGAGUGGCGAACGGGUGAGUAACACGUGAGUAACCUGCCCUUGACUUUGGGAUAACUUCAGGAAACUGGGGCUAAUACCGGAUAGGAGCUCCUGCUGCAUGGUGGGGGUUGGAAAGUUUCGGCGGUUGGGGAUGGACUCGCGGCUUAUCAGCUUGUUGGUGGGGUAGUGGCUUACCAAGGCUUUGACGGGUAGCCGGCCUGAGAGGGUGACCGGCCACAUUGGGACUGAGAUACGGCCCAGACUCCUACGGGAGGCAGCAGUGGGGAAUAUUGCACAAUGGGCGGAAGCCUGAUGCAGCAACGCCGCGUGCGGGAUGACGGCCUUCGGGUGGGAAACCGCUUUCGCCUGUGACGAAGCGUGAGUGACGGUAAUGGGGAAAGAAGCACCGGCUAACUACGU